AUUAUAGUAUUCUAUUGCCAGCGCUUAAUUGCGCGGCGAUAAACCUUACACACAUUGUCUAGUUUUUUUGAACUUUGCUUUGGGUAGGCUUUUAUGGCUUGCCCAGAGGACAACUAAACACAUUUUUUACAAAUGUUUUAAACCUUUAACCAAUAGUCAUGAAAAUUUUUAACAAAAUUAAAAUCUUCAAAACUUUCAACAACGGAUCUCUUGGUUCUCGCAACGAUGAAGAACGCAGCGAAAUGCGAUACGUAUUGUGAAUUGCAGAUUUUCGUGAAUCAUCGAAUCUUUGAACGCACAUUGCACCCUCUGGUAUUCCAGAGGGUAUGCCUGUUUGAGCGUCAUUUCUCUCUCAAACCUUUGGGUUUGGUAUUGAGUGAUACUCUGUUAAAUAGGGUUAACUUGAAAUAAUGUCUUAGCAAGAGUGUACUAAUUUAUACGUCUUUCUGAAAUAAUGUAUUAGGUUCUUCCAACUCGUUAUAUCAGCUAGGCAGAUGAAUAGUAUUUUAGGCUCGGCUUAACAAUUAAACUAAAAGUUUGACCUCAAAUCAGGUAGGACUACCC
RNAcentral lists this ribosomal RNA (564 nucleotides) under Hansenula anomala. RNAcentral's name for it is "eukaryotic LSU rRNA". The stretch from base 191 to 344 matches the Rfam family "5.8S ribosomal RNA". Lineage: Eukaryota; Fungi; Ascomycota; Saccharomycetes; Phaffomycetales; Wickerhamomycetaceae. The record is from RNAcentral.